This is a transfer RNA of Phlebiopsis gigantea 11061_1 CR5-6, 84 nucleotides long. It matches the Rfam family "tRNA". From Rfam's summary of the family: Transfer RNA (tRNA) molecules are approximately 80 nucleotides in length. Their secondary structure includes four short double-helical elements and three loops (D, anti-codon, and T loops). NCBI's taxonomy places the organism in Eukaryota, Fungi, Basidiomycota, Agaricomycetes, Polyporales, Phanerochaetaceae. The record is from Rfam.
GGCCGCCUGGCGAAAUGGCAUCGCGUCUGACUACGACCAUAAUUCGCAAUCAGGAGAUUGCAGGUUCGACCCCUGCGGUGGUCA